UGAGGUAUGGUGUAAUGGUAGCACUACAGAUUUUGGUUCUGCCUGCCCAGGUUCGAAUCCUGGUACCUCAACAA
RNAcentral lists this transfer RNA (74 nucleotides) under Bacteroides sp. CAG:1060_57_27. RNAcentral describes it as "tRNA-Gln". It matches the Rfam family "tRNA". Rfam says of the family: Transfer RNA (tRNA) molecules are approximately 80 nucleotides in length. Their secondary structure includes four short double-helical elements and three loops (D, anti-codon, and T loops). The record is from RNAcentral. Lineage: Bacteria; Pseudomonadati; Bacteroidota; Bacteroidia; Bacteroidales; Bacteroidaceae.